UACGUAGGGUGCAAGCGUUGUCCGGAAUUAUUGGGCGUAAAGAGCUCGUAGGCGGCUCGUCACGUCGGCUGUGAAAACCCGGGGCUCAACCCCGGGCCUGCAGUCGAUACGGGCGAGCUAGAGUUCGGCAGGGGAGACUGGAAUUCCAGGUGUAGCGGUGAAAUGCGUAGAUAUCUGGAGGAAUACCGGUGGCGAAGGCGGCAUCCUGGACCAUUACUGACGCUUAAGCGCGAAAGCUAGGGGAGCAAACGGG
This 253-nucleotide ribosomal RNA is filed under the name uncultured bacterium. RNAcentral's name for it is "partial 16S ribosomal RNA". It matches the Rfam family "Bacterial small subunit ribosomal RNA", at positions 524 to 776 of the family's 1533-position model. The record is from RNAcentral.